UCAUUGAGGAGGCCAGGUGCAGUGGCUCACACCUAUAAUCCCAGCAUUUUGGGAGGCCGAGUCAGGAGGAUUGUUUGAACCCAGGGGUUCAAGACCAGCCUGGGUAACAUUGUGAAACCCUGUUUCUACUAAAAAAAUUAAAAAAUAAAACACAAAAAUUAGCCAGGAGUGAUGGUGCAUGCCUGUAGUUCUAGCUACUCAAGAGGCUGAGUUGAGAGUAUCACCUGAUCCCAGGAGGCAGAGGUUGCAGUGAGCUGAGAUUGUGCUGUUGCGCUCCAGUGUGGGUGUCAGAGUGAGACCCUGUCUCAAAAAAACAAAAAAGAACUGAGCAAGGAGAAUGCUUUUUCUGGAUUGGUUCAAUUGAUGUUUUGGCCCUAAAGUCAGGAGUACCCUUCUAGGAAGAAACUGCCUUUUAAGUUAUUUUUAUGUUGAACAAUGACCCUGGCAACCCAGAAUGCCAUGAGUUCAACAACAGAUGCUUCAAAGUGGUCUACUUUCUCCCAAACACAACAUCUCUAAUUCAGCCUCUUGAUAGGGAGGUCACAAAGAUCUUUAAGGCACAUUACACAUGGAACUCUAUGGAUAAGAUUUGUCUGUACAUUUUAAGCUAAUGGACAACUCUAGAUUUUGUGAUUCUGUGUGUCACAUGUAGUCUUGAGAGAUUAAUACGCUUUUUUUUUUUAACAAAACAAAGUGAAAAAUCAGAGUAAUGAUACAGAUCAGUGGUUGAAGGAGAAAGAUGAAACUGGAGGAGGCAGAGAUAAAUUAGUAACAGAACCACCUGCAGAGCUUUUCCAAACGAUUUACAUCCCUGGGCUUUUCCCCUUCUGAUUUUGAUUCAAAAAAUUUUGGAUGGGCUUAAUGAGAGAUAUUUUGAGAAAAUAAUUCUGACAUUUUCCUUCCUCCUUCAAUUUAAGUAAUAACCACUGAUCCAGAUGAUGAUAAUGAUGAUGAUAAUAGUAACAAUAAUAAUAAAAUAAUAAAAUCUGAUUGAUAUAAAUAAUUCUUCUGCCUUUAUUUAUUCAGAUGAAUUUGCAACAACACUUUUCAAGUUAGCAUAUCAUAAAAUAAUAUCCCAAGGGAUGUAAAUACAACUACCUCAAAAAUAGAUAUGGAGAUAAAGUAUCAUAUUUAAAGCAAUUUUUUGUAAUGUACAUUAAAUUAACUAGUUUCUUUUUAGUACUAAUUCUCAGAGCUUUUAAUAUGCCAAUGCAUAUUGUGAUUCUAACAGAGAAAUAACAAUAUGCACCAAUAUUACUUGAUCAGAACAUAUAUUUUAUUUUCCCUUACCCCCACCAGUAUUGUCUUUCAAAAUAAUGUACAUUGUGAUAGUUUGGACAUGUACUUAACACUGUAUAUAACUUAUAUUGAUUCAGCACAUUUAUACUUAUGUAAGUAAUACGGUGGUUCCUCAGUAUCUGAGGGGGAUUGGUUUCAGGACCUCUGCAGAUACCAAAAUCCACAGGUGUUCUAGUCCUUUGUAUAAAAUAGCCUAUUACUUGCACAUAACCUGUGCACACAUCCUCCUGUAUAUUUGAUAUUAUCUCUAGAUUACUUAUAAUACCUGAUACAAUUUAAAUGCUAUGUAAAUAGUUCCUAUAGUAUUAGUAUUUUUGUGUUAUCUUUUUUACUGUUGUAUUGCUAUUUUUUAUUUUUUAAAAAAUAUUUUUAAUCCAUGGAUGCAAAAGUCAUGGCUACAGAGGGCUGACUGUACUUGUAUAAGAGCACUAUACUUAUCAGUACGGAAUACUUAUACAAGCAUAUACUUAUAUUGAGUUAUGCAGUGUCUUGCUUUCCAGAAUUUGAAAAUAAGGCCACUGUAUUUAUACCUUUGUAGUAUGGACAAUUUUGUAAGCCCUCAGUGAUAGUUGUCUUGUGUUUCAGGAAGGUUCUAAUGUUUGAAUGGAAAAAACAGGAGUAGUUUUAGAAAUUAUUAUCUUUUAAACAGUUUGGACAAUAUGAGGAAAGAGAGUGGUAAGAAAGUGAUAAUUGUAACAGAAACAAGCAAUUAUUAAAUGACUGCAAAGUAUUGGUCAUCCUGAGUUGGUUUCUCUGACAUGUGUAGACAAAUUAUGUAGCCCAUCUCUGGCCACAAGGUAAGACUUUAUAUUACAUAUUUGGUUUACUAAUUUACUACAGCUUUAUCUGAAUAGCUGUACAUUUCUCUGAAUAAUUUCACAUUUGUAACUGAGAUAGAGGAACUUAACCAGAAGAGAUGGAGACGACGGUGCUUGUGAGUUAGGUGGAAGGCUAACUGAGAAGCUGAGAGAGGAGGAAGAAUGGAAAAAUCACCAUUUGGUAUGAAACAUGGAGACAGAGAUAGCCCGUGACUUUGACCGGGCCACCUCAGUCAUUGUGUAGGACAAAAGUCAGAUUGGAAUGUAAAGAGGCAGUGGAAACGUCAAUAUGACAACUCUGUUCUCUUACUUCUAAAAUUCUCUUUUAAUUACCUCUGUCAGUGAACAUGAUUCAGUAAAAGUAAUUAUGUGGGGAUUUUGGCGGAAGGGGCCAACAAAAUGUUAGAACCACCAUAAUGUGGAGGACAAAGCACUCAGCAUUCUGGUUUACUCCGAGGACUGUUUAAAAGUACAAAAUGAUUGGACUUGGUGGUGCACACCUGUAGUCUCAACUACUCUGGAGACAGAGGUGGGAGGGUUGCUUGAGCACACGAGUGUGCUUCUAGCCUGGACAACAUAGUCAGACACUGUCUCCAAAAAAAAAAAAAUACAACUUUUUAAAAUAACAAAAUAGACUAUGUUUUCAGGUAACAUUCCAUAAGUACUAUUCAUUAGAAAAAAUACGUAUGCCAGAAUACUGAGUGAAUUACAAUAAACUGAAAAUUUCCCUGUGCUCUUUCCUUUAUCCUUGAGUAGAAUGAAAUCUACCAUCUAACAGAUUCCUGCUGUGACUUUUUAUAUUGGUAUGGAGAGCCGAUUCUUAGGGUAUUCCUUGCCAAGAUGGAGUAAUGGUUCUAAAACCUAAUAGGAGACUCCUGAUUUAAAAGAAUUUAUAAUGUGUAAAUAUGAAAAAAGAGAGUAUUCAUUCAAAACCAAGACUCCCAUGUGUAGAGUAAAAAGUGGAAACAUACUUUAAUUACAGUGGGGCUGAGAGAGAGCAGGAAUUACAAGAAUGGAACUGAGUAAGUCUUUGGAUAAACUUCCUGAAAUGUACGGAUUUUAGCUACCUUUUUAAAAAAAAGAAGCUACUCAAGUGCAUGUGAGACUUAGAUUCACUACAUCUUGGGCCAAGAAAAAACUUUAAAGGUAUGGAUGUAGCAGCGGGGCAAGCGUUUUGCAUAAAGAAUAGCAAACUGAUGAGAAUUGCUGCUAUGAGGCAUUGUAGAGGAGAUAAAUAGGAAUUAAUUUGGAGAUCUCUCUAAGAGUGUGAAUAUUUGUAACAAUAGCAAAAGUUUAGUUCUUCGACAUGUGGAGCAUGUUCAUAUGUAUCGCCUGAUGCGAUACACAAAAUCUUCUGAGACAGAAGUAUGACUACCAUUUCAUUGUAGAGAUGAAAGCACCAACAUGCUUCCCUCUUCUGCAAAAUGAAAAUAAUAUAGUACCUAUCUCCCUGAGCUGCUGUAAAAAUUAAAUUAGAUUAUGCAUGUGAACAACUUAUCAGAGAGCUUGGCACAUUUCAGGUGUUCACCGAAUACUUCUGAUACUAAAAAGAAAAAUAAAGGAAGUUAAACAUACCAUUCUAUGAAUACAUAGCUAUAAAGUAACAAGACUGUAUUAAAGCUUUCAGACUCCACAUUGAU
RNAcentral lists this long non-coding RNA (3757 nucleotides) under Pan troglodytes (chimpanzee). RNAcentral describes it as "long non-coding RNA NONPTRT013817". The record is from RNAcentral. Lineage: Eukaryota; Metazoa; Chordata; Mammalia; Primates; Hominidae.